UACGAAGGGUGCAAGCGUUAAUCGGAGUUACUGGGCGUAAAGGGUGCGUAGGCGGCGCGACAAGUUGGGUGUGAAAUCCCUCGGCUCAACCGAGGAACUGCGCCCAAAACUGUCGUGCUCGAGGGAGACAGAGGUGAGCGGAACUUAGGGUGGAGCGGUGAAAUGCGUUGAUAUCCUAAGGAACACCGGUGGCGAAAGCGGCUCACUGGGUCUCUUCUGACGCUGAGGCACGAAAGCUAGGGUAGCGAACGGG
Molecule: ribosomal RNA, 253 nt
Filed under: uncultured bacterium
Lineage: Bacteria
Description: partial 16S ribosomal RNA
Rfam family: Bacterial small subunit ribosomal RNA
Source: RNAcentral